This 2435-nucleotide long non-coding RNA is filed under the name Solanum lycopersicum (tomato). Its description in RNAcentral is "long non-coding RNA (SLYC_LNC001014)". Lineage: Eukaryota; Viridiplantae; Streptophyta; Magnoliopsida; Solanales; Solanaceae. The record is from RNAcentral.
AAUAAUUCCUGCAUUGAAAGAGGAAUUUUCAGAUUGAAUGACAAUCGAGUAGAGUUAGAAGCAUCUGAUUUGUCCAUGGCGCUGAUACCAAGUUCAAAUCUUGAACAAAAUAUUUCCUUUAUUUGUAUUCUAUUAUUUUUCAAAGGAUGCAUGUACAUGAUUAUAUAACUACAACUAAGUCACAAUAUAUGGAAAAAACUAAUAUCUUCCUAUUUUACAGGUAGAGUUAGAACCAUCUGAUUUGUCCAUGACGCUGAUACUAAGUUCAAAUCUUGAACAAAAUAUUUUCUUUUUUUGUAUUCUAUUAUUUUCCAAAUGAUGCAUGUACAUGAUUAUAUAACUACAACUAAGUAACAAUAUACGAAAAGAACUAAUAUCUUCCUAUUUUACAAUGAUAUCCAGAAUCGAGUUCCUAUUUUAAAAUAUUACAGAAUAUCUCUACAAGCCCUAAAAUAUCUCUACAAGGUGAUGGGGAGUUAAGAACUGAGGGUGAAGGAAUGGUAUGUGAAUUGAUGGACUGAGGAUCAGGUGUGACAAGAGGAUGACUGGUUUGAGGGUUUGAAAAGAUAGCAGGACAACAAUCAUUUGCAGGGCUAGGGAAUGCAGAUAAAGAGACUAGAAAAAUAGGAGUAUGAUGAGGUUGUGAAUCUAGAAGAGUAUGUUUGGGAUGUUUAAAUGGAAAAAUAUCCUCCUUAAAGGAUACAUCUUUGUUAACAUAAACGGAACUUGUGGCAUUAUUGUAAAGUUUGUAACCUUUUUGUGUAUCAAAAUAGCCCAUAAAAACAAAAGUAAUUGCCUUGGGAGAAAAAUUGACAGUGGUGAUCGGUCUAGUGGCAUAACACAAGCAGUCAAAAACUCGUAAAUGGUGUAAUUUGGGCACUUGAUUAUGGAAGACCUCAUACAGAGAUUUUCCUGCCAAAAUUGAUGAGGGAAGUCUAUUUAAGAGUGGAUGAUCUUGGAACCUGAGUGCCCUUGCCAUUUCAAAAACAUGUCUAUGUUUUGUUUCCGCAAUGUCAUUUUGUUGAGGUGUGUGGACACAAGUACUCUAGUGAAUUAUACCAAGAGAAGUAAAAAGAGUGAUAUUGUGAGUUAAAAAGUUCCAAGACCAUUGUCUGAACUAACAAUUAUAAUAGAAGUUGAAAACUGAUUUUUGAUGAGACUAAUAAAUAUUGUGAUAAAAGUCACAACUUCACUUUGUAUCUCAACAAGAAAAUCCAAGUCAUUCAGGAGUACUCAUCAGUAAUGGCAAGAAAAAACACAUAACCAUUAUAAGAACAUUGCUUAUAAGGCCCCCAAACAUCCAUAUGCAGAAUUUCAAAAGGAGAUACAAUUUUAUUAGUGCUAGAAGAGAAGGGGAAUCUAGUUUAUCUUGCAAGAGGACACACAGGACACGAAAGAAAAACUUUAUUCUGCAACUGAGGCCCUUAGUGAGUCUAUUUGUGGGAACUAAAAAAAGUUCAAUUGUAUCAUAUUAACACAUUACAUAUGUAAAAAUAUAUAUUCAUUAUAAAGUACUAACAAAUCCUUGGUCAAUCAAAUACAUCCUAAUUAAAUAUAGUAGUCAGUUCAAAACAUUUAGUUUAUGCUAAUACAUCCCAAUUAAAUAUAGUAGUCAACUUCAAAACAUUUAGUUUAUACUAAUACUAAGUUGCAUAUUAAUGAUCCUAAUCUCAAAACAAAAAGAAAGGGGCAUAUGGCGAAAUUGAUAGAAGCUACGAACUUAAUUGGUAAUGAAACCAUAAUUUAAAUUAAUAUUACAUGUAUCACACUGUAACUUGUUGAUUUUUAAUUUCAAGAUUACUUAUUUAAUGUAUAAUUAAUAGGAGUAUAGUACUUAUCAAUUUAUACAAGAAACACAAAUACUAAUGUAUCACAAUUGAAUGGUCAUCUCAAAAAUAUAAAUAAAAAUCAAAUUAACAACACAAUAUAUGUAGUUUCAUACCUCUGCUUGUCUGAUCUAUUUUAUUAUGCAACUAAAACUCUGAUCUAUUUUAUACAUUGCAAAUCGAGACUCAUAUUUUUUUCCAGAUUUUUGAAUGACAGGUUUUUUUUUCCAGAUUCUUCAUUGUCUUAGCAAAAUCAAAAUAUUCAUGAUGUACCUUCUCAUUGUUUUUUGGAUUUUGAAUCAAAAUUGAAAGGAUCUUCGAUGAAUUGGAAGAAGAAAUUUAAAAUCCCACUUAUGUAUCAUUCAUAACUCACCUUGAUUUUCCAGAUUCUUGAACGUAUUCAUGAUCAUGUAUCGGCUAUUGUUUUCAACUUUUAAAAUCUAUUAUGAUUUAGGAAAGAAAUAAAAGAUGAAAAUUUGAAUUGUUUGAAACCAUACGGAUCAAAUCAUAUGUCGGGAUAGAAUGUAAUUUAAAUCUUAUUUGGAUACAUUCUAUCCAACUUAUUUGCUAUGUAUCCGAAUAACAUUAUUUUUAAGGGACUUUCGUAAA